Molecule: long non-coding RNA, 220 nt
Filed under: Elaeis guineensis (African oil palm)
Lineage: Eukaryota; Viridiplantae; Streptophyta; Magnoliopsida; Arecales; Arecaceae
Description: long non-coding RNA (EGUI_LNC065125)
Source: RNAcentral
CAUCAGUACCUAAGGCACCCCACAACUGUGGACUCGUCAGCAACCUUGGAAACAUCCGAGCUUCUCUUAGAUUGUUGAGACAGAGAGCCAUUCCGCUCCACCAGACAUCCCAGCCGAGCUUCAACUGUCCAGCCCGAACUCUUUGGUAAGUCGCGACAACGGAUACCACUCCACUCUCUGUAAUAGAUUCCAUGUGGCCCCACCACUCUUUAGCAAGUUG